GCUCAAUGAUUUUUUAAAUUGCUGUAGUAUUUUGACUAUACAAAGGUAUUGAAAUAAGAUUUUAAUUGAAUGCUAAGAGAAUGGAAGUCCAGAAAAAAACUUUUUUUAAAUUAAAAAUUGAAGUUUUUUUAAUUUGUGCAGAAACAAUUAUUUAUAUUAAAGACAAGAAGACCCUAUGAAUUUAUUAAAUUUUUAUUUAAUAUGUAAUUACUAUUAGAAAAAUUUUGGCUGGGGCGGCUAGAAAAUAUUAUGAACUUUUUAAAAAUAAAAUGAUCCAUUAUUAAUGAUUUUAUGUUAAAUACUCUAGGGA
This 310-nucleotide ribosomal RNA is filed under the name Rhipicephalus sanguineus (brown dog tick). RNAcentral's name for it is "partial large subunit ribosomal RNA". The record is from RNAcentral. Lineage: Eukaryota; Metazoa; Arthropoda; Arachnida; Ixodida; Ixodidae.